This 331-nucleotide ribosomal RNA is filed under the name uncultured eukaryote. RNAcentral describes it as "partial 18S ribosomal RNA". It matches the Rfam family "Eukaryotic small subunit ribosomal RNA", at positions 1470 to 1796 of the family's 1831-position model. The record is from RNAcentral.
CCCUUAGAUGUUCUGGGCUGCACACGUGCUACACUGGCAGGUUCAGCGAGCUUCAUGCCCUGAUCUGAAAGGAAUGGGAAAUCUUUUCAAAACCUGCCGUGCUUGGGAUAGAUGUUUGCAAUUAUUCAUCUUCAACGAGGAUUGCCUUGUAAGCGCACGUCAUCAGCGUGCAUUGAAUACGACCCUGUAUUCUGUACACACCGCCGUCGCUCCUACCGAUUGAAGUUUUCGGUGAGUUGACAGGAGGAUUUUUUUGAAACUGGUUCGCCAGUGGAUUUUAGAUCCAAAUGCCAACGAAUCGAUGGCUUUAGAGGAAGGAGAAGUCGUAACA